AGUGAACGCUGGCGGUAGGCCUAACACAUGCAAGUCGAGCGGCAGCACAGUAAGAGCUUGCUCUUACGGGUGGCGAGUGGCGGACGGGUGAGGAAUACAUCGGAAUCUACUUUUUCGUGGGGGAUAACGUAGGGAAACUUACGCUAAUACCGCAUACGACCUACGGGUGAAAGCAGGGGAUCUUCGGACCUUGCGCGAUUGAAUGAGCCGAUGUCGGAUUAGCUAGUUGGCGGGGUAAAGGCCCACCAAGGCGACGAUCCGUAGCUGGUCUGAGAGGAUGAUCAGCCACACUGGAACUGAGACACGGUCCAGACUCCUACGGGAGGCAGCAGUGGGGAAUAUUGGACAAUGGGCGCAAGCCUGAUCCAGCCAUACCGCGUGGGUGAAGAAGGCCUUCGGGUUGUAAAGCCCUUUUGUUGGGAAAGAAAAGCAGCAGGUUAAUACCCCGCUGUUCUGACGGUACCCAAAGAAUAAGCGCCGGCUAACUUCGUG
Molecule: ribosomal RNA, 492 nt
Filed under: uncultured bacterium
Lineage: Bacteria
Description: partial 16S ribosomal RNA
Rfam family: Bacterial small subunit ribosomal RNA
Source: RNAcentral